AGAGUUUGAUCCUGGCUCAGGAUGAACGCUGGCGGUAUGCUUAACACAUGCAAGUCAUACGAGAGUUUUUAACUCAAGUGGCGGACGGGUGAGUAACACGUGAGAAUUUGCCUUUAGGAGGGGGAUAACAAUUGGAAACGAUUGCUAAUACCCCAUAUGUUUACGAAUGAAAUGGAGAAAUCCGCCUAAAGAGAAGCUCGCGGCUGAUUAGCUUGUUGGUAAGGUAAUGGCUUACCAAGGCGACGAUCAGUAUCUGGUUUGAGAGGACGACCAGACACACUGGAACUGAGACACGGUCCAGACUCUUACGGGAGGCAGCAGUGAGGAAUUUUCCGCAAUGGGCGAAAGCCUGACGGAGCAAUACCGCGUGAAGGAAGAAGGCCUAUGAGUUGUAAACUUCUUUUUUCAGGGAGGAAUCAAUGACGUCUACCUGAAGAAUAAGCAUCGGCUAACUCCGUGCCAGCAGCCGCGGUAAUACGGGGGAUGCAAGUGUUAUCCGGAAUCACUGGGCGUAAAGCGUCUGUAGGUUGUUAAAUAAGUCUAUUGUUAAAUCUUGGAGCUCAACUCCAAACCUGCAGUGGAAACUAUUUGACUAGAGUAUAGUAGGGGUAAAGGGAAUUUCCAGUGGAGCGGUGAAAUGUGUAGAGAUUGGAAAGAACACCGAUGGCGAAGGCACUUUACUGGGCUAUUACUGACACUCAGAGACGAAAGCUAGGGUAGCAAAUGGGAUUAGAUACCCC
RNAcentral lists this ribosomal RNA (740 nucleotides) under uncultured bacterium. RNAcentral describes it as "bacterial SSU rRNA". It matches the Rfam family "Bacterial small subunit ribosomal RNA", at positions 8 to 788 of the family's 1533-position model. The record is from RNAcentral.